RNAcentral lists this ribosomal RNA (253 nucleotides) under uncultured bacterium. Its description in RNAcentral is "partial 16S ribosomal RNA". It matches the Rfam family "Bacterial small subunit ribosomal RNA", at positions 524 to 776 of the family's 1533-position model. The record is from RNAcentral.
GACAGAGGGUGCAACCGUUGUUCGGAUUUACUGGGCGUAAAGCGCGUGUAGGCGGCUUUGCAAGUCGGAUGUGAAAGCCCACGGCUCAACCGUGGAAGUGCAUCCGAAACUGCAUGGCUGGAGUCUCGGAGAGGAAGGUGGAAUGCUUGGUGUAGAGGUGAAAUUCGUAGAUAUCAAGCAGAACACCUGCGGCGAAGGCGGCCUUCUGGACGAUGACUGACGCUGAGACGCGAAAGCGUGGGGAGCAAACAGG